UGGGGAAUUUUGGACAAUGGGCGAAAGCCUGAUCCAGCAAUGCCGCGUGUGUGAAGAAGGCCUUCGGGUUGUAAAGCACUUUUGUCCGGAAAGAAAUCCUUGGCUCUAAUACAGUCGGGGGAUGACGGUACCGGAAGAAUAAGCACCGGCUAACUACGUGCCAGCAGCCGCGGUAAUACGUAGGGUGCGAGCGUUAAUCGGAAUUACUGGGCGUAAAGCGUGCGCAGGCGGUUUGCUAAGACCGAUGUGAAAUCCCCGGGCUCAACCUGGGAACUGCAUUGGUGACUGGCAGGCUAGAGUAUGGCAGAGGGGGGUAGAAUUCCACGUGUAGCAGUGAAAUGCGUAGAGAUGUGGAGGAAUACCGAUGGCGAAGGCAGCCCCCUGGGCCAAAUACUGACGCUCAUGCACGAAAGCGUGGGGGAGCAAACAGGAUUAGAUACCCUGGUAGUCCACGCCCUAAACGAUGUCAACUAGUUGUUGGGGAUUCAUUUCCUUAGUAACGUAGCUAACGCGUGAAGUUGACCGCCUGGGGAGUACGGUCGCAAGAUUAAAACUCAAAUGAAUUGACGGGGUCAUAGCUGUUUCCU
This 587-nucleotide ribosomal RNA is filed under the name uncultured bacterium. RNAcentral's name for it is "partial 16S ribosomal RNA". It matches the Rfam family "Bacterial small subunit ribosomal RNA", at positions 355 to 1375 of the family's 1533-position model. The record is from RNAcentral.